RNAcentral lists this small RNA (602 nucleotides) under Arabidopsis thaliana (thale cress). RNAcentral describes it as "ATSL083830". Lineage: Eukaryota; Viridiplantae; Streptophyta; Magnoliopsida; Brassicales; Brassicaceae. The record is from RNAcentral.
GUUUAAAAUAUGUGUUGUUUUUGGACAGCCACAGUGAAUUCAGAGAGUAAGGAAACUGUGAAACCUGAUCAACGUGGCUACGGUGACAAUGGAGGAAAUUACAAUAACGGAGGAGGUUACCAGGGAGGAGGGGGUAAUUACCAAGGAGGAGGAGGUAAUUACCAAGGAGGAGGAGGUAAUUACCAAGGAGGAGGAGGAAGAUACCAAGGAGGAGGAGGACGGUACCAAGGAGGAGGAGGACGAUACCAAGGAGGCGGUGGGCGACAAGGAGGAGGGGGAAGUGGGGGAAGUUACUGCCGCCACGGCUGCUGCUACAGAGGUUACAACGGCUGCUCAAGAUGCUGCUCGUAUGCCGGAGAAGCUGUUCAGACUCAGCCCGGUCACUAAAACAAUAUAUUAACCAAUCACCACCAUGCAUGUAUUGCAUUAUGUAUGUAUGAUUUUAAGUAAACCAUGGUGCGUUUGUAAUGAACUGCCUCAAGUUUUUGAGGCACUAUAGAUUAAGAAGAGAACUAUGGGAAUAAAGUUUGAUUAUGUAAUGUUUUAUGUGGUUUGAGUUGUAAUACUUGCUGUUUGCAUAAUAAAAUCGUUUGUAGUUUAUG